This 1624-nucleotide long non-coding RNA is filed under the name Homo sapiens (human). RNAcentral describes it as "HSALNT0316795". The record is from RNAcentral. Lineage: Eukaryota; Metazoa; Chordata; Mammalia; Primates; Hominidae.
AUGGGGCCUAGAACCAAGAAGAACCAGGAGAACUUAGUCAGAGGAACAACUGCUUUUCUUUCCUUAUCUGUCACUCAUAGUAGUGGUAGAGAUAAUCUAGUUUUUUCCCUGCCAUCAAGGAGGCCUAAGAAAUCAAGAUAGGUAGAAACUAUUUAACUUUUAACAUUAAGGCAAUGGACUGAAUUUUAUCCCCCAUGAAAUUCCAUGUUGAGGCCCUAAUACCAGUGCGACUGUAUUCGGAGAUAGGGCUUUUAGGAAGUAAAUAAAGUUAAAUGGAUCAUAAGGGUGAGGUCCUGAUCAAAUAGGAUUGGCAGCCUUAUAAAAAGAGGAAGAGAUUCUCUCCAUUCCUCCCUCCCACCUUUUUUCAACAUUCAUGUGCGGGGCAAAGACCAUGUGAGGAAACAGAGAAGGUGGCUGUCUGCAAGCCAGGAAGAGAGCCCUCACCAGAAACUGAAUCUGCUGACACCUUGAUCUUGGACUUCCCCAGCUCCAGAACUUGAGAAAUAAGUUCCUGUUGUUUAAGCCAUCCAAUCUGUAGUAUUUUGUUAUGGCAGCCCAAGGGUACCUAUGAUGGCGGGCCUGCAUGAGAUGCUGGAAGACGUGUAGAACUGAGUGAAAUUUUCUUUGUCCUCAGAGAGGUGAUGGCUCUAUUAAAGUGUCCAGAGAGAACUCAUCUCACACCAAGGGCAUAGGAGCAGCCACACUUAAGAUCAACUGUCCUUAACCACAGCAUCAUGAUACGCUGGAUUACCCAAUCGCUUGUAAGGAAAGACAGAGAUGAAGUUAUCCUGACUGCUGAGAUGAGCAGUUUACCCUAGGAGGACCUGUGGGACUAUGUUUUGGUAAAGAAAAGUUGAGCUGCUCUGUGGGAGUGAGGUUCCAAUGAAGCCAAAUGUACAAGAGUACUGAGUAUCUCUACAGUCAUCUGAUGAGCUAAAGAAGAGGCCACAUCCGCCAUCAUAGGAAAUAAAUCUCCUGACAUCUAGCUUAUAAUUACGGGAAACUCAAGGAGAACUUUCUGAAGAUUGAAAUCUGUAAGAAAGUAGAUUUCCAGAAAAGAAGUUCCCUCCUGUGAACAGAAAAAAGGACGUAUGGGAAAACACCAGGCUACAUCUUUAUACAUGUGCUGUUGACGAAAAACAAAUGCCGCGUUUUCUCAGGAAGGAGUCAGCUGGACUCUUGGCAGCACCUCUUGACCGAAGUUUUGGUGGAAAGUGGAGACCAGGUGCUAACAACUAUUGAUUGAUAACUGACGUUGAGAGGAUCUUAGCAGGCAGGAGGAGGCAAGGCCUCAGGUACAAGAGGACUAUAGAAAGAGAAUGUGCCUGCCAAAAAGCCAGGUCUUCCCUACUGGGGCAGGAUAAAGUCAAACACAAUAGGAGUUCCCUGGCUGCCAUCUUAUUCAUCUCAGGAGUUCAUCAGAAAAAGAAUCCAGAAUCUAACAACCCAAAGGAGGCUUAAUUUUUGUACUUAGUACAAAGCUACAAAAAUUAAGGUGAAUAAUGGCACCUUUGUUUUUGUUUUAUGCUAUCGUACGCAACUCAAGAAUAAUGACAUAAUGACAUCUUUUUUUUUUUUUUUUUUGAGAUGGGGUCUCGCUCUAUUGCCCAGGCUGGAGUGCAGU